GUCUCCAUCGUCUAGCCCGGCCUAGGACAUCGGCCUUUCACGCCGACGACAGGGGUUCGAAUCCCCUUGGAGACG
This 75-nucleotide transfer RNA is filed under the name Seleniivibrio woodruffii. It matches the Rfam family "tRNA". Rfam says of the family: Transfer RNA (tRNA) molecules are approximately 80 nucleotides in length. Their secondary structure includes four short double-helical elements and three loops (D, anti-codon, and T loops). RNAcentral also lists the same sequence under 2 other names. The record is from Rfam by way of RNAcentral. Lineage: Bacteria; Pseudomonadati; Deferribacterota; Deferribacteres; Deferribacterales; Geovibrionaceae.